This is an RNA transcript of Humulus lupulus (European hop), 2083 nucleotides long. RefSeq lists it as uncharacterized. NCBI's taxonomy places the organism in Eukaryota, Viridiplantae, Streptophyta, Magnoliopsida, Rosales, Cannabaceae. The transcript has 10 exons. The record is from RefSeq and is a predicted model, not a curated record.
GAAAUAGUAAUGGCGCCUUAACUUUGUUUUCAGCUGAAAUUGGUUCUCUACCCUAAGUUACCAUCCCGCCUCUCUCCUAUGCUAGGUGUCUCUCUCGAUCUCUCACUCUCUUUCUCACAUGGCCGAAAAAUGAAGAAGGCUUGGAUGAAUGGAAGGGUACGUACAGAGGCUUCUCUAGGAGACAGGCUUCGAACAGAGAUGAUGCGACAACACCAUUGUUUGACGAUGUGCGACAGGGUGAUGGAACUUGAGGCUUGGGGCGUGCAACAGGGAGGUUUGGUCAUGGAUUCUACAGGGUGGCUCAGUUGUGGGUGUGAUGGUGCCUGCGGGGGCGGUUCGUGCGACAGGUUCGACUUCGGCAAGGGGAUUUUACUUUAAUUUCCAAAAGGCAUGUGAAGCGUUAAGAAAUUGAAGAUAAGGUUAUCUGGAUUACUAGUGCCAAUCGUGGAAUUGAUGCUAUAUUACAAGAUGACCAUAUGUGUGGCCAUAUAUUUUUUCAUAGAGUAUGAGUUCAAAAAGAAUUUCAAGGGCUUUAUGUGGAUCUCCUUGAUUUAAGAUGUCAGCAGAUGUGGCUAGAGCUCACGGUGGAGACGCUGGCGGUGAUCCUCCACUGGAUCCUACUAGGAUCCCGACUACAUGCGAGUCAGGAAUCCCAACUAAGAAAAAGGGUCGUGGCGCAGCUAUUGGAAAAGAUCUAGAGGAGAGGCGGCGUAAAAAUGGAAAACCACUGGAAGUAACGUUUUGCCCACGAAUGUACAAGGUUGUUGGGGGCGAGCACGCUGGUUUUGUCCGCCUUGUGGGAACCCAAAUUAAAACAAAAGUUCCCGGACAUUACGGUUCAUGGGAAUUAGUGCCUAAACAAUACAAGGAUCAGGUCCUUGGCAUAAUUCAGUACUAUUAUCAAAUAGCGGGCCGCGAGGAUUUCUUAAAGUGUAUAGAUGGUAUCGAUCGAGAGAUGAAAGACCGAUACCAUAAUAGGAAAACACUAAGACACGAACACUUUGAGAAACACUACAAUGGACCGGAGGAUUGGGAUAAGGUUCUAAACAACCCAACCAAUGAUAUUAACAAGGAGGAGUGGAAGCAGAUUUGUCAGUUAUUUACAAGUCCAUAAUUUAUUGCCCGCUCCAUAAAGAAUAAGGAAAAUCGGAAGAAACAAAAGUAUUCUACAACGCAGGGUACAAAAUCAAUGGCAGCCAUUCGUUUUGAAAAAACGAACCCGGACCUCAUUGAGUCAUGGAAGGAUUAUCAUUGGAAGAAAGCAACAAAUGAUUUCGUGAACGAUGAUGCUCGCUAAGAUUAUGAAAAACUGAAGGCUGAUUUUGAGUUAUAAACUCAGCAAACAUCCACUGAUGCUUCUAAUAAUGAUAGUCCGUCAUCAGUUGAUCAGGUGGAGGUGCUACAAAAAGUAUUAGGCCAAAGGCAUGGACAUGUGCGAGGAGUGGGCCGCAAAUUGAAGGGGUCGAGGUCGAGGUCGAGGUCGGGGUUGGGGUCAUCAUCUACCCAACACUCACACUUCAGUGAGUCUCAAGUUCCUCCUCAUCAUUCAAGAGAAUAUAUAGAAAAAUUGGAGAAUAAUCUACAGAAAUUGACUGAUCAAGUUAAUUUCUUAACUCAAUUUUUUGUACCUUCAUUUCGUCCACCAAACGUUCAGAUGCCGCCUAUGCCUGAUAGUGACAAUAUUUCUAGGGCUUCGUCUUCUCAACCUCCAGCUCCAACUCAUCCUUCUAUGUACGGGGCAGCGCCGUCUCAACAUAUGGUACCUCCAUAUAUGUACGGAGCAACACCUUAUCCGUGGCCGAUUCCACCGUCCUCCCAGCCGUCGUAUCCCUACAUGUAUGGAGUUGGAUCGUACACAUUACCUCCCCAAUAUCCUUGGCCGAUGCUGCCACUGCAGCAAUCACAACCACAGCCACCGCAACAACCACAACAAGAAGACAAUAGGGAGGAGGACGAGGCAGCUAAUUUAGGAGACUAGGUUUAUUUUAUUAUUAAUUAUUGUUAAAUUUUAUGAACAAUAUGAAUAUUUACUAUGUUAAUGUAUUAUGAAUAUGUAUAAUUGUUAUUUUAAUAAACUAAUUUA